This 233-nucleotide ribosomal RNA is filed under the name uncultured bacterium. Its description in RNAcentral is "partial 16S ribosomal RNA". It matches the Rfam family "Bacterial small subunit ribosomal RNA", at positions 794 to 1026 of the family's 1533-position model. The record is from RNAcentral.
UCCACGCCCUAAACGAUGAGAACUAGCUGUUGGAAGCGUAAAUGCUUUCAGUAGCGAAGCUAACGCGUUAAGUUCUCCGCCUGGGGAGUACGACCGCAAGGUUGAAACUCAAAGGAAUUGACGGGGGCCCGCACAAGCGGUGGAGCAUGUGGUUUAAUUCGAUGCAACGCGAAGAACCUUACCAUCCCUUGACAUCCUGAGAAUUUCUCGUAAUGAGAAAGUGCCUUCGGGAA